CUCCUGUAAUCCCAACACUCAGGAAACUGAGAGAGGAGACUCGAGAGUUCAAGGCCAGCCUGGCCUAUAUAGCAAGACCUUAUCUCAAGAACAAAUCCAAACCCAAACACAUGCAUAUUACAAAAUAGCCUGUCUGGACCACUAGACUGUCAACAUUGGGAAUCUUCACAUUCCCAGCACCUAACUGAAUGCUUGGCAUGGGGAAGAAUGGCGGCCAGCACCAGCUUCCCUUCCUUCUGGGCGCUGAGCUGGGUACUUAGGCUUCCCAGCAGUGUGCAACGGGCAUACCGCCAUUCCCUUUUAAAAUCACUCACACAGAGGCCCUGAGGAGCUAACGUCCCAAGGUUCUGCAUAUGGGAUCGCCUGGAUCUGUCUGAUAUCACUGCUGGGGCUCUUUGUUCUUUCCCGUUGCCUCUACCCCAGUCCUGCCUCUUCAUCCCUCCCUCCCUCCGCCCCCUGGCAGCCCUCCUCCUCUCUGGCAGGGCUCCCACGCUGCCUGCGCCUCCACACAGGAUGUGCUUCCUGAAGUUCCUGGUCCAGAUGGCCCACGGAAGCUGCUCCUCAUAAAUCACUGGGCCUCGCCGAGCUGCGCUCAGCCACUUUCUCCUCUCAAUCUCCCCAGGUCCCGGUGCGUGGGCCCCAUCCGCCCAGUCAGCACAACUGGCUCCUCCAACCAGGGGAACGUGGGGAACGUGGCUGUGGGCCCCCUCCGCAUCAGGAACCAGAGCCAUAGAGCAGAUUUCUGGGAGCCCGAAGAGGGGGCUCACAGAGCAUCUUUGCCACUUGCAGAUAACAGUACCUGGCUCAAAGCAUUGCUAAGGAACCAAUAGGUAGUGUUCCAAAAAGACAGAUGAAGAUCCAUUGGAGCUGGGAGAACCAUCUCAGAAGGAGCCUGGUGGUACACUUGGAAUUGCCAUGGCAACCAGUAACUCAUCUCCAGUAGCAGGAUGGCUCAGUUGAGUCAGCCACACUCUGGUCAACUCCCUGUUUGGCUGUCAUCAAACACUAGGUUACUUUGCAGGACCCAGGGCACAGCAGUGGGCAAGAGGCAGAAAGCAGCCAGCCUCUGAACAAGACAACCAACCAACGCUUUCUUACCACACCUAUGAUCAUUCCUCUGGGCACUUGCUGUCUACCAGUCUAUGUUCAAUGCCUUCCAUGCAAUAUUCUUUUAUCCCCACGAACUAAUGGGUGCUAUUACUUCCCCCAUUUUACAGAUGAGAAAACCAAGACUCAGAAGAGCUGAUGUGAAAAGUCUAAGGAUUCAGCCAGGAAGAGACUUAAACUUAGGUCUUCCUGCCUCAAACAUGCACACCAUGUACCUAUCACUGAUAGGUGAUAUUGCUGUUGGACAAAUGGGCCAGCAGGCAAUACAUUCUGCCCCUGGAGAGGUUCAUGCAAUCAGGCAAUCUGAUUUCCCUGAGCCUCCUUCUGAUCCUUCCUCUAAAAACGAAGUGACAGUAACCUCUGCCUCAUGGACUGCCUGGAGGGUGAGUGGAGAUGAACGUGAAUGGGACCCUCACCACAGGCACAGACCCUAACACCUGUCCAUCCAGGCCACUGAGCCUCUACCCCUCCCACGCUGGCUGGGCGGGAGCUUGUGCUGCUCCAAUGCAAUAGGCGUGGGCAUCUUCCCUCUUGCUGAGCACUGCGGAUCAUGCCAAGCAUUCUCUUGCCUUUUGUGUGUGUUUUUCAUGACCCGCUACCAGCAGCUCUUCCCUGGGCGGCUGCCACCAUCUACCCAGCGCAAGAAAACUGCCUUUCUUCCCUCAUUUAGGGUCUGGUUUUCAUUUCUACAGUAUUCUCUUUAAUAACAAUGCCUAAUUAAAACAUCUGUUAAAAAGUCUGUAACAUUAACUUUACAGGGAGAAUUUAAUAGAAUUAUAUUGGAAUUGCAGGCAUUUAACGGGCUUCCUAAUUAGGGUUUUCUUAAAAAAAAAAAGGAAGAAGAAAGAAAGAAACAUUCUACAAAUUAAAAAAUCCAGCCUCUUUUUUUUUUAUAUGAUAAUGCAGGCUGAUGGUCCAGUGUCUGGAAAGGACAGGCUGAAAGAGAACAGGGAGAUGAGCUGUGCAGAAGGAACCUGCAUUUAACAGCGAGCAUCAAGCUAGGAUCGCUGUGAUCUGUGAUCUCAAAUAUAUCCUGCCAAGACUAGCCAAGACUAGCACUUCUGGCCCAUUUGCCUGAUGAAGAAACUGAGACAGAGACAGAUAUGAUUUGUUCCAAAUCAUACAUGUACACAGUCAGUAGCAGAGCCUUCCAUCUGCUCUUUCCCCUGCUCACACAGGCUCCAAGGUUUGCAUCAGAAGCUUUCUAGAGGCUUCUGUGACCAGAGCCUCUUCCUCCCAACCUGUCACUUCUCAACAGUGGGCAUCAUGGUUGGCUUCCAUAACCCACAACCACCACUGCUUUUCUCUUAAGUCCUCAUCAGCUUAGUGCCCCAACCUGAGCUGCCAGGGCAGCUGACCUGAGUGGUCACCCCCAAAGGCCACGGUCACUUAGCUAGGGCAUGGGAUGGAGUAGGAACUCAGGGAUAUCCAGAAUAAUCAUCAAAGCCACUGCCCUGGACCUAUAGAGCCCAGCAUCACCUGAGCCUAGGACAGUUAACAGGCAGGUACUCAGGCCUCACCCACACCUACCCAAUGAGACCCUGAG
Perognathus longimembris pacificus (Pacific pocket mouse) is the source of this 2653-nucleotide long non-coding RNA. RefSeq lists it as uncharacterized. The transcript is spliced from 4 exons. Lineage: Eukaryota; Metazoa; Chordata; Mammalia; Rodentia; Heteromyidae. The record is from RefSeq and is a predicted model, not a curated record.